Molecule: long non-coding RNA, 210 nt
Filed under: Hordeum vulgare
Lineage: Eukaryota; Viridiplantae; Streptophyta; Magnoliopsida; Poales; Poaceae
Description: long non-coding RNA (HVUL_LNC001076)
Source: RNAcentral
CGAGACGUAGCGAUAGAAAUGAAACAACUAGCAUGACAAUGAUUGUAAUGGUAUCUAGGGAAAUGAUCAUCUUUCUUGAGAUCCCGCUUGGAGGAAGAACGACUCCGCGAAGCAGAAGAACCGAUGUAGUCGAACGAGUCCUCACAUUCAGACACGCUUGCGGAACUCUAUCGACACGAAGCAAACCGGAAAUAAGAAUCAACAGACGAU